Molecule: ribosomal RNA, 611 nt
Filed under: uncultured bacterium
Lineage: Bacteria
Description: bacterial SSU rRNA
Rfam family: Archaeal small subunit ribosomal RNA
Source: RNAcentral
GUGCCAGCAGCCGCGGUAAUACCGGUGGCUCGAGUGGUGACCGCUAUUAUUGGGUCUAAAGGGUCCGUAGCCGGCCUGAUAAGUUACCUGGGAAAUCGGUGGCCUAACCAUCGGCGGCCAGGUAAUACUAUCAGGCUCGGGACUAGGAGAGACCAGAGGUACUCAUGAGGUAGGAGUGAAAUCCUGUAAUCUUAUGAGGACCACCAGUGGUGAAGACGUCUGGUUAGAAUAGGUCCGACGGUGAGGGACGAAGGCUGGGGGCGCAAACCGGAUUAGAUACCCGGGUAGUCCCAGCAGUAAACGAUGCCAGCUAUGUGUUGCUGGAACCAUGGGUUCCAGCAGUGCCGAAGGGAAGCCGUGAAGCUGGCCACCUGGGAAGUACGGUCGCAAGGCUGAAACUUAAAGGAAUUGGCGGGGGAGUACCACAACCGGUGGAGCCUGCGGUUUAAUUUGAUACAACGCCGGGAAUCUUACCGGAGGGGACAGCAGUAUGAAGGCCAGGCUAAAGACCUUGCCAGAUCAGCUGAGAGGAGGUGCAUGGCCGUCGCCAGUUCGUACCGUGAGGCAUCCUGUUUAGUCAGGCAACGAUCGAGACCCGCAGUCUUAUUUGC